UCUUUUAGCCGUGCUUCUUACUCUAGGUUCCAAGUAGAGAUUGUAUGUCGGCAUUGCAUUGUGGAGUGUAAUGCCUCGUACGCGUACCACUCCCUCUACGCCUACUUCAACCGGGACAAUGUUGCCCUUAAGGGCUUUGCCAAGUUCUUUAAGGAAUCGAGCGACGAGGAGAGGGAACACGCGGAGAUGCUUAUGGAGUACCAGAACAGACGUGGAGGGCGGGUGAGGCUCCUGUCUAUCGUGACUCCAUUGACAGAGUUCGACCACUCUGAGAAAGGCGAUGCUCUGUAUGGUAAGUUUAUUUUAUAG
This 309-nucleotide ribosomal RNA is filed under the name Triticum aestivum (bread wheat). Its description in RNAcentral is "partial small subunit ribosomal RNA". Lineage: Eukaryota; Viridiplantae; Streptophyta; Magnoliopsida; Poales; Poaceae. The record is from RNAcentral.